This is a non-coding RNA of Notechis scutatus (mainland tiger snake), 1918 nucleotides long. The record is from RefSeq and is a predicted model, not a curated record. Lineage: Eukaryota; Metazoa; Chordata; Lepidosauria; Squamata; Elapidae.
CUUGCCUAAGGGCAUGAAGGGCCACUCUACCUCUUAUCUCUAUGGCUGAAACGCUUGGUACGCUUUCAGAAUGAGGUGCGUUCCCGCCUCACUUUUAGGUGAAGAAUGGCAGUAAGUUUGGAAGGCGCCCUUCUUUCCUCCCGUUGAAAAUUUUGCUGCUUUUGAAGCUAUCCACCAGAAAAAUCCUUGUCUCGGCGCACAUUCAUGGCCUCUUACCGGUCUCAUGGUUGGCUACCACGAAAAAAACUAUAGAUGGCGCUCCCGGAGAGGGAGGGAGCGUCGAAAGAGGGAACCCUUACUUAAGAUGGCGGUCGAACGGACCUCAGUGGAGAUGGCAGCCCGCGAGAAACAGUGCCCUCAAUCAAAAUGGCGGCCAAUGAAAAGAGACGCUCAUCCCCCGCGGGUACGGCGGCGGCCGGGACCGGUCAGGGCCGGUCGGCCUUGUCAACGAAUGGCGUCGCCGAGGGCGAGGCGGAGUUCCUCCUGCAGUCCGGCGUGACCGACAUGGUGCGAGAGGCUCUUAUAAAAGUGCUCGAAGCCCGGCCGGAGAAGCCCGUCGAUUUCCUAGCCGGCUAUUUCGAGGAGCUGAUGCAGAGUAGCCCGGAGGCGGCGGCGGAGGCCUUGUCGGACGGCGGAGACCCCCAGCGGCAGCUGCGUCUCGACCGGGCCUUGUGGUAUCUGGGCCUGGCUCACCAUUCCCACAGGACGGCCUUUAACAACAACGUCCACUCCGCCUACGACGUUCUCAGUGCUGGGGCCAAGGGCAAGAAACCCGGUGUGGACGGGAAGACCUACAGCGAGCUCCUGCGGCUGCUGUGCCAAGAGAGGGCCGCCUCCGACGAGACCCUGCAGCCCCUCCUGCAGAAGGUCUCAUGCCGAGACCACGAAGCGGUGCCCUUCGACAUCUUCCGCUACGGCCUCCUCACCUGCCUGAUCCUCCUGGAGUUCCUGGCCAAGGCUGACAGUCUCUACGAUGCUCUCGAUGACGGCUCGGAUGCCGCCGACAAAAGGGUCUGCACGGCCGUCUUGGGCACCCUGGAAGACGCCCUCCACAUAACCGAUGCCUCUCCUCCCAUCCGGUGCUUGGAAGCCGGAUCCAAGCUCAGGCCAGACUGCUUGGCGAUGGCGAUGGACCGGGCGCUGUUGGAGAGGAAAGCCAGCGCGGCCAUGAAGAAGGACAAGUUCCUCAAGAGGGCUGCGUCCAUCUUUGUUACAAAAGUGAAGUCCGUUCACUAAACAGGGCAGGGAGCGGGCGUGGUUCUUCUCUCUGGCUUUCCUGAGUGGCAGAAAAUCUAUGAUGCUACAGGGUGCAAAUGGACACGGACAAAGGGGGACCCCUCUAAGGCAGGGGUGGCGAAUUAUGGCUCCUUUAGGACCCGUGGACUUCAACUCCCAGAAUUCCUGAGCCAGCAAAGCUUUGCGGACUGAGGAAUUCUGGGAGUUGAAGUUCACAAGUCUUUAAAGUGGCCAAGAUUGGAGACCCCUGGACUAGAAGAUCUUCAGGGUCCCUUCCAAUUCUGUUAUCCUCUUUUAAGUUCUAGCCAAACCAGCGCACAGUCUAUUUAACCAUCUCCGAGCCAUCCACUCUUCCUCCAAACCUCCAGGCAACUCCUCAAGUGGCUCUAUCCCAUUUUUGAAGCUGGCUUGGUUACCAAUGUGUUUCUGACUGCGACUUAAGGGCCUGGUUAUAACAUCAAAAAGUCCCUAAACUGCCUGUCUAAUAAUAAUUUGAGGAACUGGCCCUUUACAAGCUGACAGGGUCUGCAUGUUCCAGGCUCUUUCUAUUAAAUAAUAUCAUUUUUCAGGACCCCGGAAGUGUUGUCUUUUCUGUCAUGGUCCCUUGGAUGAGGUUAUCCCUGAGAUCCAUCCGUACGAUUUUCCAUAAAAUGUAAUUUUUUUCUUCUCCCACACCAUGGGC